CCUACGGGCGGCAGCAGUGGGGGAUAUUGCACAAUGGGGGGAACCCUGAUGCAGCGACGCCGCGUGUGGGAAGACGGUCCUCUGGAUUGUAAACCACUGUCCCCAGGGACGAAAAUGACGGUACCUGGGGAGGAAGCUCCGGCUAAAUACGUGCCAGCAGCCGCGGUAAUCCGUAGGGAGCGAGCGUUGACCGGAAUUACUGGGUGUAAAGGGAGGGUAGGCGGGGAUGCAAGUUGGGUGUAAAAACUACCGGCUCAACUGGUAGUCGCACUCAAAACUGCAGCUCUUGAGUGAAGUAGAGGCAGGCGGAAUUCCUAGUGUAGCGGUGAAAUGCGUAGAUAUUAGGAGGAACACCAGUGGCGAAGGCGGCCUGCUGGGCUUUUACUGACGCUGAGGCUCGAAAGUGUGGGGAGCAAACAGGAUUAGAUACCCGUGUAGUC
RNAcentral lists this ribosomal RNA (440 nucleotides) under uncultured bacterium. Its description in RNAcentral is "partial 16S ribosomal RNA". It matches the Rfam family "Bacterial small subunit ribosomal RNA", at positions 338 to 795 of the family's 1533-position model. The record is from RNAcentral.